AGUGAACGCUGGCGGUAGGCCUAACACAUGCAAGUCGAACGGCAGCACAGUAAGAGCUUGCUCUUACGGGUGGCGAGUGGCGGACGGGUGAGGAAUACAUUGGAAUCUACUUUUUCGUGGGGGAUAACGUAGGGAAACUUACGCUAAUACCGCAUACGACCUACGGGUGAAAGCAGGGGAUCUUCGGACCUUGCGCGAUUGAAUGAGCCGAUGUCGGAUUAGCUAGUUGGCGGGGUAAAGGCCCACCAAGGCGACGAUCCGUAGCUGGUCUGAGAGGAUGAUCAGCCACACUGGAACUGAGACACGGUCCAGACUCCUACGGGAGGCAGCAGUGGGGAAUAUUGGACAAUGGGCGCAAGCCUGAUCCAGCCAUACCGCGUGGGUAAAGAAGGCCUUCGGGUUGUAAAGCCCUUUUGUUGGGAAAGAAAAGCAGCAGGUUAAUACCCCGCUGUUCUGACGGUACCCAAAGAAUAAGCACCGGCUAACUUCGUG
Molecule: ribosomal RNA, 492 nt
Filed under: uncultured bacterium
Lineage: Bacteria
Description: partial 16S ribosomal RNA
Rfam family: Bacterial small subunit ribosomal RNA
Source: RNAcentral